This 92-nucleotide transfer RNA is filed under the name Clostridia bacterium. RNAcentral's name for it is "tRNA-Ser". It matches the Rfam family "tRNA". Rfam says of the family: Transfer RNA (tRNA) molecules are approximately 80 nucleotides in length. The record is from RNAcentral. RNAcentral also lists the same sequence under 1 other name. Lineage: Bacteria; Bacillati; Bacillota; Clostridia.
GGAGAGAUGGCUGAGCUGGUCUAAGGCGCACGACUGGAAAUCGUGUGUGCGGUAAUCCCGUACCGAGAGUUCGAAUCUCUCUCUCUCCGCCA